AUUGAACGCUGGCGGCAUGCUUUACACAUGCAAGUCGAACGGAAACAGGCCUUCGGGUGCUGACGAGUGGCGAACGGGUGCGUAAUGCAUCGGAACGUGCCCCGAGGCGGGGGAUAACGCAGCGAAAGCUGUGCUAAUACCGCAUGUGAUCUGAGGAUGAAAGCGGGGGACCUGGCAGCAAUGUUUGGCCUCGCGCCUUUGGAGCGGCCGAGGUCAGAUUAGGUAGGUGGUGGGGUAAAGGCCUACCAAGCCGACGAUCUGUAGCUGGUCUGAGAGGACGGCCAGCCACACUGGGACUGGGACACGGCCCAGGCUCCUACGGGAGGCAGCAGUGGGGAAUUUUGGACAAUGGGGGCAAGACUGAACCAGGAACGCCGGGUGCAGGAAGAAAGCCCUCGGGUUGUAAACCGCUUUUGUACGGGACGAAAAGGCUCUGGCUGAUACCAGGGGCUGAUGACGGGACCGUAAGAAUAAGCACCGGCUAACUACGUGC
This 493-nucleotide ribosomal RNA is filed under the name uncultured bacterium. RNAcentral's name for it is "partial 16S ribosomal RNA". It matches the Rfam family "Bacterial small subunit ribosomal RNA", at positions 29 to 508 of the family's 1533-position model. The record is from RNAcentral.